This 253-nucleotide ribosomal RNA is filed under the name uncultured bacterium. RNAcentral's name for it is "partial 16S ribosomal RNA". It matches the Rfam family "Bacterial small subunit ribosomal RNA", at positions 524 to 776 of the family's 1533-position model. The record is from RNAcentral.
UACAGAGGGUGCGAGCGUUGUUCGGAAUUAUUGGGCGUAAAGGGCGCGUAGGCGGCGCCACAAGUCACCUGUGAAAACUCUGGGCUCAACCCAGAGCCUGCAGGCGAAACUGUGGUGCUGGAGUAUGGGAGAGGUGCGUGGAAUUCCCGGUGUAGCGGUGAAAUGCGCAGAUAUCGGGAAGAACACCCGUGGCGAAGGCGGCUCUCUGGGACGGUACUGACGCUGAGACGCGAAAGCGUGGGGAGCGAACAGG